Small nuclear RNA from Gopherus flavomarginatus (Mexican gopher tortoise), 198 nucleotides. RefSeq annotates it as U2 spliceosomal RNA. The record is from RefSeq and is a predicted model, not a curated record. NCBI's taxonomy places the organism in Eukaryota, Metazoa, Chordata, Testudines, Testudinidae. The transcript has a single exon.
AUCAUUUUUUAUUUAAACAUUCUCUAAUAAACUUUUAAAUCUGUUCUGUUCUUAUCAGUUUAAUCUCUGAUAUGUCCUUGAUGUGAGGACUGUAUGUUAACUUGAUUUUUGAAAUGAGGGGUUCAGAACAGAAGCUUGCUUUGUCUGCCCUAUGCAUCGACCUGGUAUUGCAGUGUUUCCAGGAACGGUGUAUCUCCC